AGCAACCUUCAUUCUCUGGACAUGGGAGUUCUUCACGGGCCAGCACUCUGCCCCGUACAACAUCGCAGGUCUAACCACGGCUCUGUAGAAUUUUCCUUUGAGUUUGUGUGGGAUUUUCUUGUCAUGUGAGUUCUUUACCCUUUUAUCAUAACUUAUACUAUUUCUAAUUUUCAAUUUUAGUAAACACUCAGAUUACUUAGUGGUACCCCUCUAUCAAUUAUUUCAAAUUAAUGCACAUUAGGACCCCACUGGACAGAUCACUUAGGCAAACUAAUUUUUCAC
RNAcentral lists this long non-coding RNA (282 nucleotides) under Nicotiana benthamiana. RNAcentral describes it as "long non-coding RNA (NBEN_LNC011653)". The record is from RNAcentral. Lineage: Eukaryota; Viridiplantae; Streptophyta; Magnoliopsida; Solanales; Solanaceae.